GCGCCCGUAGCUCAAUUGGAUAGAGCGUCUGACUACGAAUCAGGAGGUUGGGAGUUCGAGUCUUCCCGGGCGCGCCA
This 77-nucleotide transfer RNA is filed under the name Rhodospirillaceae bacterium. RNAcentral describes it as "tRNA-Arg". It matches the Rfam family "tRNA". Rfam says of the family: Transfer RNA (tRNA) molecules are approximately 80 nucleotides in length. Lineage: Bacteria; Pseudomonadati; Pseudomonadota; Alphaproteobacteria; Rhodospirillales; Rhodospirillaceae. The record is from RNAcentral. RNAcentral also lists the same sequence under 9 other names.